This 66-nucleotide transfer RNA is filed under the name Rossellidae sp. DVL-2014. RNAcentral's name for it is "tRNA-Tyr". Lineage: Eukaryota; Metazoa; Porifera; Hexactinellida; Lyssacinosida; Rossellidae. The record is from RNAcentral.
UCUUAUCUAAUUUAAAACAAAAUACAUAACUUGUAAUUAUGACAUACACACACACUGUGAUAAGAU